This 547-nucleotide ribosomal RNA is filed under the name uncultured bacterium. Its description in RNAcentral is "bacterial SSU rRNA". It matches the Rfam family "Bacterial small subunit ribosomal RNA", at positions 355 to 901 of the family's 1533-position model. The record is from RNAcentral.
UGAGGAAUAUUGGACAAUGGGCGGGAGCCUGAUCCAGCCAUGCCGCGUGCAGGAUGACUGCCCUAUGGGUUGUAAACUGCUUUUACAUGGGAAGAAACGCACCUACGAGUAGGUGUCUGACGGUACCAUGAGAAUAAGGACCGGCUAACUCCGUGCCAGCAGCCGCGGUAAUACGGAGGGUCCGAGCGUUAUCCGGAAUCAUUGGGUUUAAAGGGUCCGUAGGCGGGCCUAUAAGUCAGAGGUGAAAGGCCACGGCUCAACCGUGGGACUGCCUUUGAUACUGUAGGUCUUGAGUCGUUGUGGAGUUGCCGGAACAUGUGGUGUAGCGGUGAAAUGCAUAGAUAUCACAUAGAACACCGAUCGCGAAGGCAGGUAACUAACAACGUACUGACGCUGAUGGACGAAAGCGUGGGUAGCGAACGGGGAUUAGAUACCCCGGUAGUCCACGCCGUAAAACGAUGGAUACUAGCUGUCGGGACUUCGGUCUCGGCGGCCAAGCGAAAGUGAUAAGUAUCCCACCUGGGAGUACGUUCGCAAGAAUGAAACU